This is a long non-coding RNA of Mauremys reevesii (Reeves's turtle), 597 nucleotides long. RefSeq lists it as uncharacterized. The transcript is spliced from 3 exons. Lineage: Eukaryota; Metazoa; Chordata; Testudines; Geoemydidae. The record is from RefSeq and is a predicted model, not a curated record.
AGCUCCAGGGCUGCACAUUACCAAAAGAUAAAGGGGCUUUCAGCAACCAGAGCUAAUCACAGUCUAAAUCUUUCCUCUUCUAAAACUAACCCCCAGUCUAAUUGCUCUCUGAGCCAUAGCCUUAUAUAUGAAGCUUAGCUCCACCCCCAUUCCAUAGCCCCGCCUACAUCAGUCACCCACUUUAUAAAUAGCCUGUCCUCCAUUUUGAAUUCAGUGAUGAAGAGUCUGGAGGCAGGAAGCGAUUCUGUUCUGCUGCAGGGUGCCAUGUAAGACAGCCUGAACGCUCACUGUUGGGAUGAGUUUUAAGCAGCGGUGCAAGAUUACCUGUGUUCGUCUCCCGGUCUGCAGCAGAGAUGGACACACAGCAAUCCCCACAGCCCGAAACGUUAUUGAAGUUUGCAGGACUGUGUGCUGAUCCUGGACGCUGCAAAACUCUCAUGUUUCUGGGGAUGGCAUCAUAGAGCAAGAUGGCCAGAAUUGUAGCUGUGAUUAACUGUGAGCAGAACUAUUCCAUAUGGGAUGGAGCAGUCAGCCAUGUUAAAAUGUACCUGAGCUGAAAGAGUGUGCUGUCCUCCUAAGUGCUGUUUUUGAUGCAAA